This 1372-nucleotide ribosomal RNA is filed under the name uncultured bacterium. RNAcentral describes it as "bacterial SSU rRNA". It matches the Rfam family "Bacterial small subunit ribosomal RNA", at positions 28 to 1381 of the family's 1533-position model. The record is from RNAcentral.
GAUGAACGCUGGCGGCGUGCCUAAUACAUGCAAGUCGAGCGAACGGACGAGAAGCUUGCUUCUCUGAUGUUAGCGGCGGACGGGUGAGUAACACGUGGAUAACCUACCCAUAAGACUGGGAUAACUUCGGGAAACCGGAGCUAAUACCGGAUAAUAUUUUGAACCGCAUGGUUCAAAAGUGAAAGACGGUCUUGCUGUCACUUAUAGAUGGAUCCGCGCUGCAUUAGCUAGUUGGUAAGGUAACGGCUUACCAAGGCAACGAUGCAUAGCCGACCUGAGAGGGUGAUCGGCCACACUGGAACUGAGACACGGUCCAGACUCCUACGGGAGGCAGCAGUAGGGAAUCUUCCGCAAUGGGCGAAAGCCUGACGGAGCAACGCCGCGUGAGUGAUGAAGGUCUUCGGAUCGUAAAACUCUGUUAUUAGGGAAGAACAUAUGUGUAAGUAACUGUGCACAUCUUGACGGUACCUAAUCAGAAAGCCACGGCUAACUACGUGCCAGCAGCCGCGGUAAUACGUAGGUGGCAAGCGUUAUCCGGAAUUAUUGGGCGUAAAGCGCGCGUAGGCGGUUUUUUAAGUCUGAUGUGAAAGCCCACGGCUCAACCGUGGAGGGUCAUUGGAAACUGGAAAACUUGAGUGCAGAAGAGGAAAGUGGAAUUCCAUGUGUAGCGGUGAAAUGCGCAGAGAUAUGGAGGAACACCAGUGGCGAAGGCGACUUUCUGGUCUGUAACUGACGCUGAUGUGCGAAAGCGUGGGGAUCAAACAGGAUUAGAUACCCUGGUAGUCCACGCCGUAAACGAUGAGUGCUAAGUGUUAGGGGGUUUCCGCCCCUUAGUGCUGCAGCUAACGCAUUAAGCACUCCGCCUGGGGAGUACGACCGCAAGGUUGAAACUCAAAGGAAUUGACGGGGACCCGCACAAGCGGUGGAGCAUGUGGUUUAAUUCGAAGCAACGCGAAGAACCUUACCAAAUCUUGACAUCCUUUGACAACUCUAGAGAUAGAGCUUUCCCCUUCGGGGGACAAAGUGACAGGUGGUGCAUGGUUGUCGUCAGCUCGUGUCGUGAGAUGUUGGGUUAAGUCCCGCAACGAGCGCAACCCUUAAGCUUAGUUGCCAUCAUUAAGUUGGGCACUCUAAGUUGACUGCCGGUGACAAACCGGAGGAAGGUGGGGAUGACGUCAAAUCAUCAUGCCCCUUAUGAUUUGGGCUACACACGUGCUACAAUGGACAAUACAAAGGGCAGCGAAACCGCGAGGUCAAGCAAAUCCCAUAAAGUUGUUCUCAGUUCGGAUUGUAGUCUGCAACUCGACUACAUGAAGCUGGAAUCGCUAGUAAUCGUAGAUCAGCAUGCUACGGUGAAUACGUUCCCGGGUCU